RNAcentral lists this ribosomal RNA (423 nucleotides) under uncultured bacterium. RNAcentral describes it as "partial 16S ribosomal RNA". It matches the Rfam family "Bacterial small subunit ribosomal RNA", at positions 359 to 776 of the family's 1533-position model. The record is from RNAcentral.
AUAAUCGACCACAGGCGACAGCCUGAUCUAGCCAUGCCGCCUGUGUGAAGAAGGUCUUCGGAUGGUAAUGCACUUCAAGUUGGGAGGACGGGUUGUAGAUCAAUACUCUGCAAUUUGGACGUUACCGACAGAAUAAGCAAGGGCCAACUUCGUGCCUGCCGCCGCGGUCAUCCGAAGGGUGCAAGCGUUAGUUCGGAGUACUGGGCGUAAGGCGCGCGUAGGUGGUUCGUUAAGUUGGAUGUGGAAGCCCCAGGCUCAGCCUGGGAACUGCAUCCAAAACUGGCGAGCUAGAGUACGGUAGAGGGUGGUGGAAUUUCCUGUGUAGCGGUGAAAUGCAUAGAUAUAGGAAGGAACACCAGUGGCGAAGGCGACCACCUGGACUGGUACUGACACUGAGGUGCGAAGACGUAGGGAGCAAAGAGG